This 268-nucleotide long non-coding RNA is filed under the name Manihot esculenta (cassava). RNAcentral's name for it is "long non-coding RNA (MESC_LNC000737)". The record is from RNAcentral. Lineage: Eukaryota; Viridiplantae; Streptophyta; Magnoliopsida; Malpighiales; Euphorbiaceae.
CCACUGUUAACUGCAAUUUCUACCUUCUUCCUUCAGCAGUUUCCAUUAUGCCUCACAGGGGCUGCUACCCUAAGUUGGUUCACAGACAUUCCUCCAAACGUCAUACAGAGUUGGAGUUGUUGCCUAAGGUCUUCUGCAACAACUUCUACUCCAUAUCAAUUUAUCCUCAACACAUGCGUGUCUAUAAAGUUUUCUUUUAUCACUAUUUCCAUUUAUUCUCAAUGGGUCAUUCUGAUCAACAUAACAGAAAAAAAAAAGUUUCUUCUAG